RNAcentral lists this ribosomal RNA (253 nucleotides) under uncultured bacterium. RNAcentral's name for it is "partial 16S ribosomal RNA". It matches the Rfam family "Bacterial small subunit ribosomal RNA", at positions 523 to 776 of the family's 1533-position model. The record is from RNAcentral.
GUACGUAGGGUGCGAGCGUUAAUCGGAAUUACUGGCGUAAAGCGUGACGCAGGCGGUUCGCUAAGACGAUGUGAAACUCCCGGGCUUAACCUGGGAACUGCCAUUGGUGACUGGCGGCUAGAGUAUGGCAGAGGGGGGUAGAAUUCACGUGUAGCAGUGAAAUGCGUAGAGAUGUGGAGGAAUACCGAGUGGCGAAGGCAGCCCCCUGGGCCAAUACUGACGCUCAUGCACGAAAGCGUGGGGAGCAAACAGG